CGGGACACGUGGUAUCCUGUCUGAAUAUGGGGGGACCAUCCUCCAAGGCUAAAUACUCCUGACUGACCGAUAGUGAACCAGUACCGUGAGGGAAAGGCGAAAAGAACCCCGGCGAGGGGAGUGAAAAAGAACCUGAAACCGUGUACGUACAAGCAGUGGGAGCACAGAGCAAUCUGUGUGACUGCGUACCUUUUGUAUAAUGGGUCAGCGACUUAUAUUCUGUAGCAAGGUUAACCGAAUAGGGGAGCCGAAGGGAAACCGAGUCUUAACUGGGCGUUAAGUUGCAGGGUAUAGACCCGAAACCCGGUGAUCUAGCCAUGGGCAGGUUGAAGGUUGGGUAACACUAACUGGAGGACCGAACCGACUAAUGUUGAAAAAUUAGCGGAUGACUUGUGGCUGGGGGUGAAAGGCCAAUCAAACCGGGAGAUAGCUGGUUCUCCCCGAAAGCUAUUUAGGUAGCGCCUCGUGAAUUCAUC
Molecule: ribosomal RNA, 476 nt
Filed under: Escherichia coli
Lineage: Bacteria; Pseudomonadati; Pseudomonadota; Gammaproteobacteria; Enterobacterales; Enterobacteriaceae
Description: partial 23S ribosomal RNA
Rfam family: Bacterial large subunit ribosomal RNA
Source: RNAcentral